Molecule: ribosomal RNA, 842 nt
Filed under: Eucera floralia
Lineage: Eukaryota; Metazoa; Arthropoda; Insecta; Hymenoptera; Apidae
Description: 12S ribosomal RNA
Source: RNAcentral
CUCACAUAUGUAUUUGAUUUUGGUAUAUAAUUAGUUGAUUUUAUAAAUUUAUGUACUAUAUAAAGAUUUUUAAAUAAUUUAUUUAAUUAAUAUUAAAAUCUGAAACAAUCUAUGUAAAUAUAAUUCGGAAAUAAAAUUAAGUAAUAAUUAAAUUAGUGCCAGCAAUAGCGGUUAAACUAUAAUUAUAAAUUAAUUAUAUAAUAAUAAUAAUUAAUUAAAAAAUAAAUUUUAUAGAAUAAAUUUAUAUAUAUAUAUAUAUUAUUAUACAUAUUUAUAUAAUUUUUUGGUGGAAUAAUAAAAAUUAUAAUGAAAUUAUAAUUUAUAAAUUAAAAUAUUAAAAAUUAUAUUAAUAAACUAGGAUUUGAUACCCUAUUAUCUAUAACUUAAAUUUAAUAUUAAUAAUUAAAUGUAAAUCAUUAAAAUUAAAGAAUAUGGCUGUAUAAUAUUUACUUAGGGAAACUUGUAGAUUAAUUUGAUGAUCCUCGAUAGGAUAAACUUGAAAUAUGUUUUUGUAUUGUUGUUUUAAGAUUUUAUAAUUAAUUAAAGUUAUAAUAUUAUAUUAAUUUUUAAUAAAUAAUAAUUCAAAUCAAAAUUUAAUAUUUUUAAGAUAUUAUGAGUUAUAAUUAAUUAAAUUAUUAGAUAAAUAAAUUUUAAUAUUAUUUUAAAAGAGGAUUUUAUAGUAAUUUAUUUAAAUUAUUUUAAAUGAAUAUGCGUAUAUAUAAGUACAAAUCGCCCGUCAAUUUCAUUAAAAGUGAAGUAAGUCGUAACAUAGUAAUUGUACUGGAAAGUGCAAUUAGUUAAUAAAAUUUUAAAUAUUUAAAUAUAUUUAUUUAAAAUUUUUA